UGAUCCUGCCAGUAGUCAUAUGCUUGUCUCAAAGAUUAAGCCAUGCAUGUGUAAGUAUAAGCAACUAUACUGCGAAACUGCGAAUGGCUCAUUAAAUCAGUUAUCGUUCAUUUGAUAGUACCUUACUACAUGGAUACCUGUAGUAAUUCCAGAGCUAACACACGCACAAAACCCCGACUUCUGGAAGGGGUGCAUUUGUUAGAUACAAAACCAAUACCUUCGGGUCUUGUGAUGAUUCAUAACAACUUUGCGAAUCGCAGAGGCCCUUGAGCCGGCGAUAAAUCAUUCAAAAUUUCUGCCCUAUCAACUUUCGAUGGUACGAUAGAGGCGUACACUAGUUUGUUCGGAAAC
This 351-nucleotide ribosomal RNA is filed under the name uncultured eukaryote. Its description in RNAcentral is "bacterial SSU rRNA". It matches the Rfam family "Eukaryotic small subunit ribosomal RNA", at positions 9 to 363 of the family's 1831-position model. The record is from RNAcentral.